UUGAGACUUAUUUACAAUGGCUGC
Molecule: non-coding RNA, 24 nt
Filed under: Arabidopsis thaliana (thale cress)
Lineage: Eukaryota; Viridiplantae; Streptophyta; Magnoliopsida; Brassicales; Brassicaceae
Source: RNAcentral